RNAcentral lists this ribosomal RNA (1273 nucleotides) under Clostridioides difficile. RNAcentral's name for it is "partial 23S ribosomal RNA". It matches the Rfam family "Bacterial large subunit ribosomal RNA", at positions 1621 to 2907 of the family's 2925-position model. The record is from RNAcentral. Lineage: Bacteria; Bacillati; Bacillota; Clostridia; Peptostreptococcales; Peptostreptococcaceae.
CUCUAUCGAGGUUAAAGGUACCCGUACCGCAAACCGACACAGGUGGGUGAGGAGAGUAUCCUAAGGCUAGCGAGAGAACUGUUGUUAAGGAACUCGGCAAAAUGACCCCGUAACUUAGGGAUAAGGGGUGCCACCAUCAGGUGGCCGCAGAGAAUAGGCCCAAGCGACUGUUUACCAAAAACAUAGGUUUCUGCUAAGUCGCAAGACGAUGUAUAGGAGCUGACGCCUGCCCGGUGCUGGAAGGUUAAGGGGAUCUGUUAGAGCAAUCGAAGCAGUGAACUUAAGCCCCAGUAAACGGCGGCCGUAACUAUAACGGUCCUAAGGUAGCGAAAUUCCUUGUCGGGUAAGUUCCGACCCGCACGAAAGGCGUAACGAUUUGGGCACUGUCUCAACAACAGACUCGGUGAAAUUGUAAUUCCGGUGAAGAUGCCGGAUACCUGCGACAGGACGGAAAGACCCCAUGGAGCUUUACUGUAGCUUGACAUUGGGUCUUGGUACUACAUGUACAGGAUAGGUGGGAGGCUUUGAAACCAGGACGCCAGUUUUGGCGGAGCCAUCCUUGGGAUACCACCCUUGUAGUACUGGGACUCUAACCAUAGGCCAUGAAUCUGGUCUUGGGACACUGUCAGGUGGGCAGUUUGACUGGGGCGGUCGCCUCCCAAAAGGUAACGGAGGCGCUCAAAGGUUCUCUCAGUACGGUCGGAAAUCGUACGUAGAGUGUAAAGGCAAAAGAGAGCUUGAUUGCAAGACAUACAGGUCGAGCAAGGAUGAAAAUCGGACUUAGUGAUCCGGUGGUUCUGCGUGGAAGGGCCAUCGCUCAACGGAUAAAAGCUACCCUGGGGAUAACAGGCUUAUCUCCCCCAAGAGUCCACAUCGACGGGGAGGUUUGGCACCUCGAUGUCGGCUCAUCACAUCCUGGGGCUGUAGUAGGUCCCAAGGGUUGGGCUGUUCGCCCAUUAAAGUGGUACGCGAGCUGGGUUCAGAACGUCGUGAGACAGUUCGGUCCCUAUCCGUCGCAGGCGUAGGAAAUUUGAGAAGACCUGUCCUUAGUACGAGAGGACCGGGAUGGACGUACCUCUGGUGUACCAGUUGUCCUGCCAAGGGCAUGGCUGGGUAGCUAUGUACGGAAUGGAUAAGCGCUGAAAGCAUCUAAGCGCGAAGCCAACUUCAAGAUAAGAUUUCCCACCGCAAGGGUAAGACCCCAGAAAGACUAUCUGGUUGAUAGGUCGAAGGUGUAAGUGCAGCAAUGUAUUUAGCUUAUCGAUACUAAUAG